GUUGGAUACUAGUAACACAGCACUACGUACAAAUAUGAAUGCAUCAUUGAAACUACCAUUUUUAUGCCUGACUUUCACAGUGUGUGCCUCUCUAGGAGGUAACUUCACGCUGCAUCGUACGAAGAGAGAUUUAACCACACAAUUUUGGGAUAAGCACGUGACGUUUGUAUAUGAAGGAACACCAAUAACAUUCAAUUUUCUUAAACAGGAGUUGGCAGAUUUUGCAAAUGAUAAAAAAAGAGUCUGGCAUACUUUCAUUAUCGUCUUUUACAACAAACCUGAGAACAAAGGAAAACAAAUGACGUCAUUUAAGACAAUGUUAAACACUGUCAUGUCGAAAAAGAUAAGAUCAAAUAUGUGUGUUGAAAGCACAAAGGAUAUCCCACACGUAUGCAAAAAAAACAUUAAGAAAAAUAAGGAAUUCAGUAAUUUCUCUGGGUAUCGUUUCUGUCGAGUCAAGUUGGAAGAUUUGGGACCCAAAACGUAUAUGGCUAAUUUCAAUCCUCAAAACAAAAAUGCUCGCUGUGAGUAUUCAGCGCAAGGUAUGUUUUACUUAGGGGUUCGACCAGUGAAAUACAAAAAACAAAGCGACAAAAACACAGACUGGUUUAUUGUGAACCAUUUGGAAAAAUCAGAAAUGUAUGGCGAGGUAUUGGAUUGCAAGAAAUAAAUCACGGAAAUGUUAAACGUAUGGAUAUACACCACCAACAAAAUACUGAAAGAUGGAUAUUGUAAUAUGUAGUUUCACUAUAUCAUUGUUAUUAACAUAUUACAUUUAUUUUUUUAUACUGUAAGAUGACAUAUUGGAGAUAGUUAUUUUUGUGAAAUAUUGCCUAUAAAAUUCAUUGUUUUCUUUCUGUUUUCUAUAUUGUAACUUUCGUCUUUCAUUUGAUAUGUAGCAUUUUCCUUUUUGUAUGAUAUCCUGUCAAGUCAAUAAAAUGUGCAUGGAAUGCAAAC
Molecule: long non-coding RNA, 957 nt
Organism: Magallana angulata
Lineage: Eukaryota; Metazoa; Mollusca; Bivalvia; Ostreida; Ostreidae
Exons: 3
Source: RefSeq, a predicted model, not a curated record